UACAGGGGGUGCAAACGUUGCUCGGAAUCAUUGGGCGUAAAGCGCACGUAGGCGGUCUGUUAUGUCGGAUGUGAAAGCCCUUGGCUCAACUGAGGAAGUGCAUCCGAAACUGGCAGGCUAGAGUACUAAAGAGGAUCGCGGAAUUCCCGGUGUAGAGGUGAAAUUCGUAGAUAUCCGGAGGAACACCGGUGGCGAAGGCGGCUUCCUGGACCGACACUGACGCUGAGGCGCGAAAGCUAGGGGAGCAAACGGG
Molecule: ribosomal RNA, 253 nt
Filed under: uncultured bacterium
Lineage: Bacteria
Description: partial 16S ribosomal RNA
Rfam family: Bacterial small subunit ribosomal RNA
Source: RNAcentral